This 75-nucleotide small RNA is filed under the name Marinomonas sp. TW1. Its description in RNAcentral is "isrK". It matches the Rfam family "isrK Hfq binding RNA". Lineage: Bacteria; Pseudomonadati; Pseudomonadota; Gammaproteobacteria; Oceanospirillales; Oceanospirillaceae. The record is from RNAcentral.
GCACUGGCAAAAUCCAGUGUCGGGAUUGAGACCCCGUUUACCAAAGCGGCCUAGAACACGCUCCGCGUGUUUUUU